GAUGAACGCUGGCGGCGUGCCUAAUACAUGCAAGUCGAGCGAACGGACGAGAAGCUUGCUUUUCUGAUGUUAGCGGCGGACGGGUGCGUAACACGUGGAUAACCUACCUAUAAGACUGGGAUAACUUCGGGAAACCGUGGCUAAUACCGGAUAAUAUUUUGCACCGCAUGGUUCAAAAGUGAAAGACGGUCUUUCUGUCACUUAUAGAUGGAUCCGCGCUGCAUGAGCUAGUUGGUAAGGUAACGGCUUACCAAGGCAACGAUGCAUAGCCGACCUGAGAGGGAGAUCGGCCACACGGGAACUGAGAAACGGUACAGACACCGAGGGGAGGAAGCAGUAGGGAAUCUUACGCGAUGGGCGAAAGCCUGACGGAGCAACGCCGCGGGAGGGAUGAAGGUGUUCGGAUCGUAAAACUCUGUUAUUAGGGAAGAACAAAUGUGUAAGUAACUGUGAACAUCUUGACGGUACCGAAUCAGAAAGCCACGGCUAACUACGUG
Molecule: ribosomal RNA, 497 nt
Filed under: uncultured bacterium
Lineage: Bacteria
Description: partial 16S ribosomal RNA
Rfam family: Bacterial small subunit ribosomal RNA
Source: RNAcentral